CUUCAAGUAUGUCUUUACAUAUGGUCGGGGGUAUGAAGUGGGCGGGCGUGAUGAUGUGAAUGGUAAUGCUUAGAAUUGGAUUUAUAGGGGUGCCAUUACCAUGCGGGAGGGGAGCCGGAGUGGGGGUCGAUAUAGGAGAGGUGAUUGACGAUGUCUGGGGGGAUUCCAACUUGUCCAGCCUAACGCUAAUCGUGUUGACAGAGGCCAGGAGAGAUGACAUCAAGCCCUUGAUCUCAGUAUAAU
Non-coding RNA from Pelobates cultripes (western spadefoot toad), 243 nucleotides. NCBI's taxonomy places the organism in Eukaryota, Metazoa, Chordata, Amphibia, Anura, Pelobatidae. The record is from the annotation of a GenBank genome assembly.